UACGUAGGGUGCAAGCGUUGUCCGGAAUUAUUGGGCGUAAAGAGCUCGUAGGCGGUCUGUCGCGUCGGAUGUGAAAACCCGGGGCUUAACCCCGGGCCUGCAUUCGAUACGGGCAGACUCGAGUGUGGUAGGGGAGACUGGAACUCCUGGUGUAGCGGUGAAAUGCGCAGAUAUCAGGAAGAACACCGGUGGCGAAGGCGGGUCUCUGGGCCGAAACUGACGCUGAGGAGCGAAAGCGUGGGGAGCGAACAGG
RNAcentral lists this ribosomal RNA (253 nucleotides) under uncultured bacterium. RNAcentral describes it as "partial 16S ribosomal RNA". It matches the Rfam family "Bacterial small subunit ribosomal RNA", at positions 524 to 776 of the family's 1533-position model. The record is from RNAcentral.